CUUUUAACGUAGACAAAGGAGAGAAAAGAUAUUUUUAAUUUUAGAAGUAAAAUUGCUUUUAGUAAACCCUUAUCUUGUUUAUGAUACAGUAAUAUAUUACCAAAUAGUAAGUAUAAUUUUUAAAACAUUUCUUAAAGGCUAGGUUGUUGUCACCAUUAGAGUAACAAGCAGGUUAAUAAAAGGUCUCUCAGUGGUAGGUUUUUCCUAACCCAUUCGUAUAUACUUCUCAGGUUUCCCAUGUGACCAGUGGGGCAUGGUAAUAUGACUUUAUAGUCUGUGAGUAUUUUUCCCCUUGAGAGUAUUCAUGACAAAAGGGUUCACAAACUUAACCCCAAAUUAUUUAUAAAUAUAUUGUUAACAAAUUGAACUAACUACUCAGGCAUGUAUGCGGCCAAUCUUCAGUCAGAUCUGUCAGCAAGAAACAAAAUGUAUAGUCUUACUAGACAUAACUUCUGGAAGAAUCAUUAUUGGGUUUCUAGAACUCUUUAGUUCAGUAAUGGUGAGAAUAAAAAUGAUUUUGCAAUUAAAAGAAUAUAAUAUGCUAGGCGUUUCAGGUUGUUCAUCUUAAGAUUAUCUUUUUUUACUCUGUAUUUAAAAAUUUUUUCUUCUAAGACAUUUUAAAGCAAAGAAAUGAACAGUGGGGUGAAUAGUUUUGGCUUCUUCUUUCUUUGUGAAGAACAUAUUUAUGAUACAAUAACUGACCACCAUCACUGUUGUCAUUUCUAUAGAACCAUAGCAGGGUCAUCCUGUUCAAGAUAGUAUAAUUGCCUCGCCCACUUCUAUGAUACCGCUUUCUCCUGUCUCCUGUUUUGGGCCGCCUUGUUACCUCCUUAAUCAAGAUCCUUGGUGGCAACGCUACUAAUGGGUCUAGUUAGCACAGUGUAGCACCCAUGCCCAACAGGUGCUUAAUAUAUUCAGGACCUACCUGCUUUGCCCAAGGUGAUAGACCAUGCAUUGGUGAACCUAAAUUUUACUUAGAAAAUACAAAUCUUAUAUCACACCAUCCCCCACUUCCCCAGUAGCAUCAUCUAUUCUACUAAUAGUCUUUGGAAUUCUAAGGAAAGAUAAAUCAUAACCCCCCCCCCCUUAAUCUUAAGGCACUUAAUAAUAAAAAUGACCCAUAGAAGAGUUACUUUGGAGGAAUAGUUUCUUGGCUUGCUUAUUCUUGAAAAUGUAUCUUUACGAAAAAGGGUGACUUUCCUUUAUCCCCCAAGCCUAAGUUCAGACAAGUCCUGAAUGGACCAAAGGAGAGACAGUAAAUAUGUAUUUUUAGGUUGAUUGUUGACAAUAUAGAUAAUUUAUAGAAACUUAAUGAACUGAUUUCCUUCCUUUAUUAAAGUUUCUUGGGAGAAGAAUUUACCAUACUUGCAAUUAGUCAUUCUGUUUAUCUUACUGCUUACUAGUAAGCGAAAAAACAGUGACACUUAGGAUAUAACUUGUGCAUUUGGAUCCAAUGUUUAGAUCAUUUUGGGAAUUUCUCUUGCAGAGAGAACCAGUUCUUGGGUGUUUUGUUAUUUUGUUUGUUGUUUUGCUAGGAACAAGUCUACACAGAGCUCUCAAGCUGGCACUCCAUGAGCUACAUCUAGCCUGUAGUUAUAAUUUGUUCUACAGUUAUUUUCAGAGGUUUUUUAAAAAUUAGUUGCCGUCACUUACAAAUCAAGAGUUUCCAUAUAAAACGUCUCAAUUUUUUUUACUUUUCUUAAAAAUUGGAAUAUCUAGCAAAACAGGCCUAUAUUUCCACCUGGCCCCCACCCUUUGACUGGAGCUGAGUUGUAGGCAUCCACUCCAGAUUAACCACUCAUUUCACCAGGAUUCCACAACCCAGCACGUGAUGGGGUAACCCCUGCUGUCUAGUCACUUACUACUUUUGCUGCCAAACAGAAUGGGAAUGAGGAGUGCUUGCUGAAUGGGUACAGAUUUUUUAGGGGUCAUAAAAAUGUUCUCAAGUUAAGAUAAUAGUUUUGGUUGUACAACUUUAUAUUUCUACUAAAAUUAAAUAAAGCCAGUGAAUGGUAUACAUUAUAUGAGUGAAGCUUAUGGUAUGUGAAUUAUAUCACCAUAAAGGUGUUUUUAAAAUGUCUCUUAAGACUCAGGGAAGAGCUCUGAAGGAGGAAGGUCAGAAGAGAGUGAGCUGUCAUUAGAGGGGGCAUACCCCCUUCCUGGGGGGAGGAGGGGGUUGAUUGUUACAAGAGGUGAAAACUGAAUGUAAAUAGCUUUUGGUGUAGACUUACAAAAUCAGCCUCACUCCUUCAGUGCCUGGUAAAUAAAGGGUAGAGUGAACCCUACUUGUAUGUAUAUUUUUAAGAAUAGAGAAAUUAAAUUUAGAGUUGAGAAAUGUAAGAAUUGCUGUAAAAACAAAAACAAAACGAAACAAAAUGUAAAAAGAAUUGCUGUAAUAGGUUAAGGGGAUCCUGACACCUAGUGGACAGCAUAUGUACAGUUGACAGGAAAAAAAAAAAAA
Molecule: long non-coding RNA, 2461 nt
Organism: Herpailurus yagouaroundi (jaguarundi)
Lineage: Eukaryota; Metazoa; Chordata; Mammalia; Carnivora; Felidae
Exons: 2
Source: RefSeq, a predicted model, not a curated record